Molecule: ribosomal RNA, 174 nt
Filed under: uncultured bacterium
Lineage: Bacteria
Description: partial 16S ribosomal RNA
Rfam family: Bacterial small subunit ribosomal RNA
Source: RNAcentral
UAGGGAAUAUUGGUCAAUGGACGCAAGUCUGAACCAGCCAUGCCGCGUGAAGGAUGAAGGCCCUCUGGGUCGUAAACUUCUUUUAUUAGAGAAGAAACCUCAGGAUGCGUCCUGAGCUGACGGUACUUAAUGAAUAAGGAUCGGCUAACUUCGUGCCAGCAGCCGCGGUAAUAA